UGCGUAACGCGUGGGAAUCUGCCCUUGGGUUCGGAAUAACAGUGAGAAAUUACUGCUAAUACCGAAUGAUGACGUAAGUCCAAAGAUUUAUCGCCCAGGGAUGAGCCCGCGUAGGAUUAGCUAGUUGGUGAGGUAAAAGCUCACCAAGGCGACGAUCCUUAGCUGGUCUGAGAGGAUGAUCAGCCACACUGGGACUGAGACACGGCCCAGAGUGAUGAAGGCCUUAGGGUUGUAAAGCUCUUUUACCCGGGAUGAUAAUGACAGUACCGGGAGAAUAAGCUCCGGCUAACUCCGUGCCAGCAGCCGCGGUAAUACGGAGGGAGCUAGCGUUAUUCGGAAUUACUGGGCGUAAAGCGCACGUAGGCGGCUUUGUAAGUUAGAGGUGAAAGCCUGGAGCUCAACUCCAGAACUGCCUUUAAGACUGCAUCGCUUGAAUCCAGGAGAGGUGAGUGGAAUUCCGAGUGUAGAG
This 469-nucleotide ribosomal RNA is filed under the name Sphingomonas sp. Its description in RNAcentral is "bacterial SSU rRNA". It matches the Rfam family "Bacterial small subunit ribosomal RNA", at positions 107 to 680 of the family's 1533-position model. The record is from RNAcentral. Lineage: Bacteria; Pseudomonadati; Pseudomonadota; Alphaproteobacteria; Sphingomonadales; Sphingomonadaceae.